GGCCCAAGGGGUCGACGGGUGAAAAGGGAAUCAGGUGAAAGGCCUGAGCAGACACCGCUGCUGUAUGUCCUGUAAACUGUCCGGCAUUCGAGAGUCACUGUCCUGUAGGGAUGGGAAGACGCCGGGCGGGGGACGAGCCAGAAGACCUGCCGGUACCAUAU
This 161-nucleotide non-coding RNA is filed under the name bovine gut metagenome. The record is from RNAcentral.